RNAcentral lists this long non-coding RNA (262 nucleotides) under Phaseolus vulgaris (common bean). RNAcentral's name for it is "long non-coding RNA (PVUL_LNC002965)". The record is from RNAcentral. Lineage: Eukaryota; Viridiplantae; Streptophyta; Magnoliopsida; Fabales; Fabaceae.
AAUAACCGGAAACAACAAAUUCAUGUUGUAGUUCACAUAAUGUACUGCACCAUUACUAUCUUGGAGAAUCCACAACUCAUGAAGUUCAGUUGCAAACUCUAUAGCAAAAGCACCAUCCACAAAAGCAAUAUCCUUCAAAAAAAUAGUAAUAAAAGUCUAUGAUUAAUGUUGAAAAUAAUUCAAAGAACAGUAAUGUUGUUAACUUAAAACCUAUACAAAACAUACCUCCCCGAAAAUGUUCAUGGAGGUAAAAAUUCCCUUU